CACUAGGUGCCAUUAGGCACCACAUCAGUGGUUGAGUGAAUAAAUG
Non-coding RNA from Nelumbo nucifera (sacred lotus), 46 nucleotides. NCBI's taxonomy places the organism in Eukaryota, Viridiplantae, Streptophyta, Magnoliopsida, Proteales, Nelumbonaceae. The record is from Rfam.